CCGCUGCCUUGUGAAGAUGUCUGCUUCCCGUUCCACCAUGAUUAGUUUCCUGAGGCCUCCUCAGCCAUGUGGAACUAUGGAGUCUCGCUCUGUUGCUAGGCUGGAGUACAGUGGCGCCAUCUCGGCUCACUGCAAUCUCCACCUUGCAGGCAGAAGCGAUUAUCCUGCCUCAGCCUCCGGAGUAGCUGGGACUACAGGCACGCACCACCACAUCCAGCUAAUUAUUAUUAGUAGAGAUGGGGUUUCACCAUGUUGGCCAGGAUGGUCCCCAUCCCUUGACCUCGUGAUCUCCCUGCCUUAGCCUACCAAAGUGCUGGGAUUACAGGCUCACGCCUGUAUUAUAUUAUAUCUUGAUAUAAUACAAUAUCUUGAUAUUAUAUGCAAUUAUAUCUUGAUAGCAUAUGUAUGCUUCUGUAUAGAAUGAUUUUAACUAUAAUGAUAAAUAAUGGACACCCGCAUAUGUAUUUAGCUGUGUGUAUUUGUGUGGUCAUAAAAGGUGAUGCUGUGAAGUGAUUAACAGCUUAGACUUCUUCAUGACUAGUUGUGCCAUUUUUUGAAUAUUAUCACUUUGGUUAAGUUGUUCAAACUCUCUAACAUUUAGCUUCUGCAUCUGUAAUAAUAGAUACCUUAUAGAGUUGUUAGGUGGUUAAGCACUGCAUAGAUUGCCUCGGCCAUCAUAAGCCUCACAUGAGCAUUAGCUAUUGUUAUGUGAAUCAUGAGUACUUCAAUACAGGCAUAACUUUUUAAAAUGUAGAUUGAUCUAUGCAAAUCUUGUGGCAUGAAGUAUAUUUCAAAAUAAAAAUAAAAUAUUCUCAGAAUCAUAAGGCAGGAUGAUAGUCAAUAUAAUGAUAGUCAAUCUCUCUGCUUCUAGGGAAAAAUACACAUCACACAUCCAAGAUCAUAUUACUAAAAUUAUUCGAUAUGUGCACAUAGACAUGAAUAAAAAUAAUAUUAUUGAUAUUUUAAAUUAUAGAGAAGAAAUGUCAGCACCCUCACUCUGUACUGUUUCAUUCUUAUCUGACUGGUAUAUUUUAAGUUUUCAUGAAUAUCUAUGAAACAAAGAAAUGUACUGUCCUUGAUCCCCUCACUGCCAUGAAAAAAAAACAGCUACAUAUAAUUUAAUAAAAAUAAACUUAGUUCUUGAUUCUCAAAUUGAAUCUUAACUUUUUUGGGUUAUAAUUCUCUCACAACUUACCAAACUAUUUAGAAGUCAAGGUACAUAAGAAAUGUGUAGUUUUGUUUCUAUGUGUGAGGAUCUCAAGCAAGGGGAUCUUUUUUUUUUCAAGUUCUUUCAAUG
This 1297-nucleotide long non-coding RNA is filed under the name Homo sapiens (human). RNAcentral's name for it is "HSALNT0319944". Lineage: Eukaryota; Metazoa; Chordata; Mammalia; Primates; Hominidae. The record is from RNAcentral.